RNAcentral lists this unclassified non-coding RNA (365 nucleotides) under uncultured fungus. Its description in RNAcentral is "sequence contains ITS1". The stretch from base 1 to 99 matches the Rfam family "5.8S ribosomal RNA", at positions 50 to 154 of the family's 154-position model. The record is from RNAcentral. Lineage: Eukaryota; Fungi.
GAAAUGCGAUACGUCAUGCGAAUUGCAAAACCAGUGAGUCAUCAAAACUUUGAACGCAACUUGCACUUCCCUUUGGGGAGUAUGUCUGUUGGAGUGCUUGUUCAUCCCCACCACAAACCCCAUUCCCUAAUAAGGUCUGGGAGUUAAGUGAAGUCCGCCUAUUCAGUAGUAAUACUCAAUAGAGCGCAGAUGAAACAAAAUCAAAUAUCCGAUCUGAAUCAGUUUAACCUUUCGGGGAUAAAUAUGAUUACAGAACGCGACGUCAUAGUGUAAAAACUUAGAAUCGUGUUUUGUAUUCAGAAUGAUGAUCUCGGUAUAUUUUUCGAUCGAGCCUCCAAUCAGUCAAGAAUACCCGCUGAAUUUAA